GACGGAGGAUGCAAGUGUUAUCCGGAAUCACUGGGCGUAAAGCGUCUGUAGGUGGUUUGAUAAGUCAACUGUUAAAUCUUGAGGCUCAACUUCAAAAUCGCAGUCGAAACUAUUAGACUAGAGUAUAGUAGAGGUAAAGGGAAUUUCCAGUGGAGCGGUGAAAUGCGUAGAUAUUGGAAAGAACACCGAUGGCGAAAGCACUUUACUGGGCUAUUACUAACACUCAGAGACGAAAGCUAGGGUAGCAAAUGGGAUUAGAUACCCCAGUAGUCCUAGCCGUAAACUAUGGAUACUAGAUGUUGAACAGAUCGACCUGUGCAGUAUCAAAGCUAACGCGUUAAGUAUCCCGC
RNAcentral lists this ribosomal RNA (350 nucleotides) under uncultured diatom. RNAcentral's name for it is "SSU rRNA". It matches the Rfam family "Bacterial small subunit ribosomal RNA", at positions 524 to 872 of the family's 1533-position model. The record is from RNAcentral. Lineage: Eukaryota; Bacillariophyta.